RNAcentral lists this ribosomal RNA (491 nucleotides) under uncultured bacterium. Its description in RNAcentral is "bacterial SSU rRNA". It matches the Rfam family "Bacterial small subunit ribosomal RNA", at positions 10 to 518 of the family's 1533-position model. The record is from RNAcentral.
AGUUGAUCAUGGCUCGAGGACGAACGCUGGCGGCGUGCCUAACACAUGCAAGUCGAGCGAGGAGAUUCCUCGGGAUGAUCCUAGCGGCGGACGGGUGAGUAACACGUGGGCAACCUGCCUCAUAGAGAGGAAUAGCCUUCCGAAAGGGAGAUUAAUACCUCAUAACAUUGCAGUUUCGCAUGGAACAGCAAUUAAAGGAGUAAUCCGCUAUGAGAUGGGCCCGCGGCGCAUUAGCUAGUUGGUGAGGUAACGGCUCACCAAGGCGACGAUGCGUAGCCGACCUGAGAGGGUGAUCGGCCACAUUGGGACUGAGACACGGCCCAGACUCCUACGGGAGGCAGCAGUGGGGAAUAUUGCACAAUGGGGGAAACCCUGAUUGCAGCAACGCCGCGUGAGUGAUGACGGCCUUCGGGUUGUAAAGCUCUGUCUUCAGGGACGAUAAUGACGGUACCCGAGGAGGAAGCCACGGCUAACUACGUGCCAGCCGCCGC